Molecule: unclassified non-coding RNA, 243 nt
Filed under: Hevea brasiliensis (rubber tree)
Lineage: Eukaryota; Viridiplantae; Streptophyta; Magnoliopsida; Malpighiales; Euphorbiaceae
Source: RNAcentral
CAUCAGGAAGUAAAGGAGACUCAUUACAUUCUUUAGGAAUUGAUUCUAAGGAUGCUUGUUGAUCAAGUGUAUCAAGCUCAAUGGCUGUAUUAUAUGUCUUAUUCCGACGCAUGUGUGUUCUCAAAUCCAAUCUAUUAGCUCAAUGGCUGUAUUAUAUGUCUUAUUCCGACGCAUGUGUGUUCUCAAAUCCAAUCUAUUCAAUCUCACUGAGAUUUGAGGAGGUGAUUGCUCUUGAUUAGAGGU